This 497-nucleotide ribosomal RNA is filed under the name uncultured bacterium. RNAcentral's name for it is "partial 16S ribosomal RNA". It matches the Rfam family "Bacterial small subunit ribosomal RNA", at positions 28 to 507 of the family's 1533-position model. The record is from RNAcentral.
GAUGAACGCUGGCGGCGUGCCUAAUACAUGCAAGUCGAGCGAACGGACGAGGAGCUUGCUUCUCUGAUGUUAGCGGCGGACGGGUGAGUAACACGUGGAUAACCUACCUAUAAGACUGGGAUAACUUCGGGAAACCGGAUCUAAUACCGGAUGAUAUUUUGAACCGCAUGGUUCAAAAGUGAAAGACGGUCUUGCUGUCACUUAUAGAUGGAUCCGCGCUGCAUUAGCUAGUUGGUAAGGUAACGGCUUACCAAGGCAACGAUGCAUAGCCGACCUGAGAGGGUGAUCGGCCACACUGGAACUGAGACACGGUCCAGACUCCUACGGGAGGCAGCAGUAGGGAAUCUUCCGCAAUGGGCGAAAGCCUGACGGAGCAACGCCGCGUGAGUGAUGAAGGUCUUCGGAUCGUAAAACUCUGUUAUUAGGGAAGAACAUAUGUGUAAGUAACUGUGCACAUCUUGACGGUACCUAAUCAGAAAGCCACGGCUAACUACGUG